GUAAUAGAGAUAUUAAAAUUAUCAAAUAACAUCAUUGUUAUUUAACUAAUUCAACCUUAUUUUAUGGUUUUCCAAUAUGUAAGUGUGUCUAUUAACAAACAAAUUUUUUCUCUCUCUUAUCCUUUCUCUCUCUACAUCCUCUCUCUCAAUCGUGUGGUCUCCCUUGCUCCGGCGUCCGGCAAGCGCGUGAGCGCCACCGCCGGUGCCGGAAGCUCUCUUCUCUUUAUCUUUCGGUUUUAUAUUUGCUCUCCAUCCAUUCUCUUGUCUCCUUUUCGAUAUGCCUCAGAAAUUAGGAUAGGUUUCGUUCAUACGGCAUCAGCUCCGCUCGUGAGGGGUUCGCUUCCGGUGACGUUUCCUCUUCCUCUGGUCUCUGGGUGAGUUUGCGGCAGCAGUUUAUGGUGGGUGUAGUCGGUUUUUAGAGUUCAAGGAGUGGAUCUGUGAUUUUUGCAUUUCAGAUCUGGCUCUUGGUUCUCGUCGCUCCUUGCAAGAGAGAUCUGCGCGGCUCUGUCAAGCUCCUGUCUUGGUGGUGUUAUUUGGCAGCGGCGGUGGUUUUUGAGGUUCUCUUCGGUGUCGUGGAGGUCCAAUCUCUUCCCAAUGCUGUCGAGUGAGCUCCGGAGGCUUCCACUUCCUCGGAGGCAAGUCUUGGAUCAAGUUACGCAGGUGGAGAUGGUGACUCGGUCCUGUUUCCGACUUGUGAGAUUACGGUGGUGUUCUUGAAAGGUGUCGUCUAUGGCUCCUUGAUGUUUGCUCGACGUCUCUCAUCACUACAAAUCUGUUCUACUUGGUCAUGUUCUGUUACCUUCGGUUAACGGCGACGGCCCUCUUUAUCAAAGUUGUUCUCAGUGUUCCCUUGUUCUGUCUCUGUUUGACACCGGAGACUACUUACGAUUCACAGAAGACUGUUUUUUGGUUCUCGAUUAACAGCAAAUGUCUUUGCGAUUUGUGUCAUAAUCGCUUGGUGUCAUCAUUUGGCUUGUCUCACUUCCCAGUACCAUGAAUGCUCUUUGAUCAUCUGUGGUAGUGUAGAUUAGCUAUUAUGUGCAGGUUUGAGAGUUCUUCCAGGCUGUGUGUAAUGGCGAGCUAUUGUUCUAUUGGUUUUCCCGGAGAGUGGUAUAGCAGGGGCUCCGACAGCUCUCCUUAGGUAUGUCUGUCCUCGUUCCUUCUCUCCCUUGUAUGUAUUGCGCAUCAUGGACAAAG
RNAcentral lists this long non-coding RNA (1197 nucleotides) under Brassica napus (rape). RNAcentral's name for it is "long non-coding RNA (BNAP_LNC007614)". The record is from RNAcentral. Lineage: Eukaryota; Viridiplantae; Streptophyta; Magnoliopsida; Brassicales; Brassicaceae.